AUGCUACGCGGAUCAGCUUCGGCGGCCAGCCGAGAUCACGUGUUCGCGUUGGCGGAGGACCACCAGCAGUGCUACCUCACCAAGUGGGCGGACCAGAGCAACAAGCGUCGCGCCGAGUUUGCCGCCCGUAUUCCGGCCAUCGCGGCGCAGGUGGCAUCUGAGGUGUCGGCGGCCGUCGCAGAAGCGCUACGGGCCGCGCGCGCAGGGUACCACGAGUACCUCGACCAUGCGCCAACGACUACAUCAACCCCAACUGUGUCUCUGGCGGACGACAACGCAUCUGUUUCUGAUGCAUCCGUGGUGGUCUCUGCUCAGAGAUCGGCAUCAACCUUCACGCAGCAACAACAACAGCAGGAAGAAGAGGAUGCGCCGCGCCAGACAAUUGAGAACAGAGACGCCAGCGUCCUCGCUGCUUGGAUGCCCGCCACAUGUUCGACACAAUGUGCAAGCCGUGCCGCCAUCGUGUCGGUGCCGGCGCCCGCUUCCCCCGCAACACCAGCUUUGUCCAAGGUCACCAUCAACGCCGUCGAGCGGUACUGUGUCGGCCUCGAGCCAGCGGCCUCGACCUCGACGCCGACCACCACACUGGACGUCUUGGGUGCAUGCUCAACAGCAGCGAACUCCCACACGCACAAUGCCAUCUCCACCACCAUCAUUCCAGCGCCAGGGGUAGUGCAGGCAAUGGCCAUGGAUAUCUCAAUGCCAACCCACACCUCUACAUUGGGCGACAUGUACUCUGUUGACGCGUCGGCCGCCACCUGCUCGACCGCGAGCCCAGGAGGGGACAAUGCUACAACUCUUGUCUCUGUCGCUGUGGAGGCGUCAACAGCAAUCGAAAUCGCUCCAAGUGUGGCCGCCCCAUUGGUUUGCCUGGGUGAUCUCCACUUCAAGCUGUACACAGGUGCCAUCAGCAUGUUCCAAAGUGUUCCUAUGUCAACGUCUUCCAGGUGUUCUGCAAAAAGUUUAGACCAAGACACCAACAUGGAAUUACCAGAAUCUGCACUCGGCGUAUGUCCGCCCACGAGAGUAGCGUGUGCCUACUUCCACUCUAGUCUUAUGCCACUAAGUGCUACAGUUUUGAGGAGUGCUCGUGUCCAGAAGGUCAACAGGUUCCAGUUGCUCAACAAUAACGACAACAUCAGUGUCACCAAGGAGCAGGACAAGUGA
This 1167-nucleotide ribosomal RNA is filed under the name Triticum aestivum (bread wheat). Its description in RNAcentral is "partial small subunit ribosomal RNA". Lineage: Eukaryota; Viridiplantae; Streptophyta; Magnoliopsida; Poales; Poaceae. The record is from RNAcentral.